Molecule: microRNA, 22 nt
Filed under: Monodelphis domestica (gray short-tailed opossum)
Lineage: Eukaryota; Metazoa; Chordata; Mammalia; Didelphimorphia; Didelphidae
Description: mdo-miR-7382-5p
Source: miRBase by way of RNAcentral
AGAGGCUCCUUUCUCGAGUGGG